This 760-nucleotide transfer RNA is filed under the name uncultured Prochlorococcus sp. Its description in RNAcentral is "partial 16S-23S ribosomal RNA intergenic spacer; may also contain 16S ribosomal RNA and 23S ribosomal RNA". The stretch from base 249 to 321 matches the Rfam family "tRNA". Lineage: Bacteria; Bacillati; Cyanobacteriota; Cyanophyceae; Synechococcales; Prochlorococcaceae. The record is from RNAcentral.
AGAUCGUGAUGUCUGAGAUAAUUGUUCUUAGGCCAUGGUCCUGUCACCUUAGGUCGAUCGGUACCUCAAUUUGAAGAAGAACAAACAAAUGCCAAGACAUUUGAGAGUUCUUCUUUGUAUUCAGUUCCUAAACUUGUCUAGGUCAAACCCCACAAGGGUUCUCCUGGGCCAUUAGCUCAGGUGGUUAGAGCGCACCCCUGAUAAGGGUGAGGUCCCUGGUUCAAGUCCAGGAUGGCCCAUUCGGUGUUGGGGGUAUAGCUCAGUUGGUAGAGCGCCUGCUUUGCAAGCAGGAUGUCAGCGGUUCGAGUCCGCUUACCUCCACUGAACCAUUCCCUGACAAUGAUGCUCAAGGAGACUUGUUUGAAUUGACUUAGACUUUAGUUUCAUCUGAAAUGACCCUAGCUUCCUUUCAUUCCUCCAUCUAAGUAAAAAUUAGAUUGGUUGACAGGACGCUGGGCUCACUACAAAUCUUUUGAUUUGUAUGUUUGUUCAGUAGAACCUUGACAACUGCAUAGAUUAGUCUGGAUAGAAUAAAAGCAUCUACAAGAUGCGUUAUUCUUUUGCUAUUAAUUAAGUAUUUUAAUUAAUUAGGAUACUUAAUUAGUUAAAAGAAUAAUGUUAGAUUCUUAAGCAAGAGCCGAGACUCUAUAACGCUCUUCUAAUAAUUAUUUAUUAGGAGUCUGAUUGGUAAUUCGUUUGAAUUGCUAAGAACAUUGCUUAAAGCAUGAAGCGUUAUUAGAGGAUAAUGGUCAAGCUACAA